Molecule: ribosomal RNA, 449 nt
Filed under: uncultured bacterium
Lineage: Bacteria
Description: bacterial SSU rRNA
Rfam family: Bacterial small subunit ribosomal RNA
Source: RNAcentral
ACUCCUACGGGAGGCAGCAGUGGGGAAUAUUGCACAAUGGGCGCAAGCCUGAUGCAGCAACGCCGCGUGAGCGAUGAAGGCCUUCGGGUCGUAAAGCUCUGUCCUCAAGGAAGAAUAAAUGACGGUACUUGAGGAGGAACGCCCGGCUAACUACGUGCCAGCAGCCGCGGUAAUACGUAGGGGCAAGCGUUAUCCGGAAUCACUGGGCGUAAAGGGUGCGUAGGCGGUUUUCAAGUCAGAAGUGAAAGGCUAUGGCUCAACCAUAGUAAGCUUUUGAAACUGUUAAACUUGAGUGCAGGAGAGGAAAGUGGAAUUCCUAGUGUAGAGGUGAAAUUCGUAGAUAUUAGGAGGAACACCGAGUGGCGAAGGCGACUUUCUGGACUGUAACUGACGCUGAGGCACGAAAGGCGUGGGAGCGAACAGGAUUAGAUACCCUGGUAGACUGUCAG